GGUUUGUGGCUCAGUGGUAGAGCGCUUGCCUAGCAUGUGUGAGGCCCUGGGUUCAAUUCUCAGCACCA
This 68-nucleotide transfer RNA is filed under the name Marmota monax (woodchuck). RNAcentral describes it as "tRNA.Ala". The stretch from base 5 to 65 matches the Rfam family "tRNA", at positions 6 to 65 of the family's 71-position model. Rfam says of the family: Transfer RNA (tRNA) molecules are approximately 80 nucleotides in length. Their secondary structure includes four short double-helical elements and three loops (D, anti-codon, and T loops). The record is from RNAcentral. Lineage: Eukaryota; Metazoa; Chordata; Mammalia; Rodentia; Sciuridae.